GAUGAAGAACGUAGCGAAAUGCGAUAAGUAGUGUGAAUUGCAGAAUUCAGUGAAUCAUCGAAUCCUUGAACGCACAUUGCGCCCCUUGGUAUUCCAUGGGGCAUGCCUGUUCGAGCGUCAUUUGUACCUUCAAGCUCUGCUUGGUGUUGGGUGUUUGUCUCGCCUCUGCGUGUAGACUCGCCUCAAAACAAUUGGCAGCCGGCGUAUUGAUUUCGGAGCGCAGUACAUCUCGCGCUUUGCACUCAUAACGACGACGUCCAAAAGUACAUUUUUACACUCUUGACCUCGGAUCAGGUAGGGAUACCCGCUGAACUUAAGCAUAUCAAUAAGCGGAGGA
This 337-nucleotide unclassified non-coding RNA is filed under the name soil metagenome. Its description in RNAcentral is "partial contains 5.8S ribosomal RNA, internal transcribed spacer 2, and large subunit ribosomal RNA". The stretch from base 1 to 120 matches the Rfam family "5.8S ribosomal RNA", at positions 35 to 154 of the family's 154-position model. The record is from RNAcentral.